UGCCAUGCAACCACACCUCUCUCCUUUCUCUUCUUGGUGUGUCUAUAUCAGAAGGCUGCAGUAGAGUACCUACUCACAUGGCUAGCAGAGAGACAUCUGAAGGCUGAGGUGGACUGAACCUUAAUGAACAAGUGAUUGUCCACUAGCUCGCCCGAGUACAAACCCCCAACACGGCGACUGCAAUUCACAGAAAUGAUUUUUCUCAGGCUCUAGGGAACAACAGAUAAGAGAUACACGUUUUCCUUUUGAACAGUCCUUUCAUUGUAUUGUGAGUCAUGGCAGGGUGGAGACCAGCCACCCUCCUCCUUUUCCUCUUGGGAUUCCUCUUCCUUUGUGAUGCCUCUAUGCACCUCCCUGGCCAGCGGCUAAGGUCACGUUUGCAGAGGGAGAGACGCAACAUUCGCCCAAAUAUUAUCCUCAUUCUCACUGAUGACCAGGACAUAGAGCUUGGCUCUAUGCUGGCCAUGAACAAGACGAAGCGUAUAAUGAUUCAGGGAGGCACCCACUUCUCCAAUGCAUUUUCCACAACUCCCAUGUGUUGCCCAUCUCGGUCCUCCAUUCUGACUGGAAAAUAUGUGCACAACCACCAUACCUACACCAACAAUGAGAACUGUUCAUCUCCUUCAUGGCAGGCCCAUCAUGAGCCUCACACUUUUGCUGUACACCUUAACAAUUCAGGCUACAGAACUGCUUUCUUUGGAAAGUAUUUGAAUGAGUAUAAUGGCACUUAUGUGCCACCUGGCUGGAGAGAAUGGGUAGCACUUGUGAAGAACUCUCGCUUCUACAACUACACUCUGUGCAGGAAUGGAGUCCGUGAGAAGCAUGGCAUGGAGUACUCCAAGGACUACCUCACAGAUCUAAUCACAAACAACAGCAUCAACUACUUUCGGAUGUCCAAAAGACUGUAUCCCCACCGGCCUGUAAUGAUGGUCCUGAGCCAUGUUGCCCCUCAUGGCCCAGAGGAUGCAGCACCUCAGUACAGCACAACCUUCUCAAAUGCCUCCCAGCACAUCACCCCAAGCUAUAAUUAUGCCCCCAACCCAGACAAACAUUGGAUUCUGCGCUACACUGGCCCUAUGAAGCCCGUUCACAUGCAGUUCACCAACUUGCUGCAGAGGAGGAGACUACAGACCCUGUUGUCAGUGGAUGACAGUGUGGAAAAGGUAUACAAUAUGCUGGUGGAGAUUGGUGAACUGGACAACACUUACAUUAUCUACAUGUCUGACCACGGCUACCACAUUGGCCAGUUUGGCCUUGUCAAAGGAAAGUCCAUGCCCUAUGAGUUUGACAUCCGUGUGCCUUUUUACAUACGAGGGCCCAAUGUGGAAGCAGGUGCCAUUAACUCCCACAUAGUUCUCAAUGUUGACUUAGCUCCCACACUACUUGAUAUGGCUGGAGUAGACAUCCCUGUGGACAUGGAUGGAAAAUCUAUUCUGAAACUGUUGGACACUGAGAGACCAAUUAACAGGUUUCAGUUUAACAAGAAGGGGAAAGUAUGGAGAGACUCUUUUCUGGUAGAGAGAGGGAAGCUUUUGCAUAAGCUGUCAGAUGUAAAGGAGGAGAUGCAGGAGAACGCUCUGCCAAAGUACCAGCGAGUUAGAGAUCUCUGUCAGAAAGCAGAAUAUCAGACUCCCUGUGAGCAACCGGGACAGAAGUGGCAGUGUAUGGAGGACCCCUCAGGCAUGCUGAGGUUGUAUAAGUGUAAGAGCAUGGCAGGUCUCUAUGCCCCCCGUGCUCAGGACCUGAUGUCCGGUAAUGCUCAAUUGUACCAGCGUGGAUUACCUUCACAGCAUUGCGACUGUGAGUCUGCUGUGCCUUUCAAGAGAAAGAAGAUGCUCACCAAGAGGAAACUAAAGCCAAAAAAGAGUUCGUCUCGGAAUCGCUGGGCCCGGGCACUCCCACCUCACUUGGACAGCAUUGUUUACACUUUGGAUCUGGAAGAGGGCUACCGGCCCAUCACACCGAAGAAUAUCAGUCACACACUGGACAGAAAACAGGCCACUUAUGAAGGCAUUGAAGAGUUCAGCGGAAUGGAACCAACAGACAACAACCUCAUGGUGCCUGCAGCCCUUAAAGUUACCUACAGGUGUUCAAUACUGAUAAAUGACACAGUGAAAUGUGACGGUGGACUAUACAAAUCACUACAGGCUUGGAAAGACCACAAACUACAUAUUGAGCAUGAGAUUGAGACUCUACAGACCAAGAUAAAGAACCUGAGAGAGGUCAAAAGUCAUCUGAAAAAGGUUCGGCCAAAAGAGUGUGAAUGCAACCAUAAAAUUUAUCAGUACAAGAACAUAUCACUCAGACUCAAGUCAGAGCACAUGCAUUCUCUAAGUAGACUGGCGUCUAAAGAUAAGAAGCAGUGGCUGCUGAAGGAACAGAAGCGCAGGAAGAAGCUGCGGAAGAUGCUUAAGCGUCUCCGGAACAAUGACACCUGCAGCAUGCCUGGCCUUACCUGUUUCACCCACAAUAACCAGCACUGGCAGACUGCCCCCUUCUGGACAAUGGGGCCAUUCUGUGCCUGUACCAGUGCCAACAAUAACACCUACUGGUGUCUAAGGACCAUUAAUGACACCCACAACUUCUUGUUCUGUGAGUUUGCCACUGGAUUCCUGGAGUAUUUUGACCUCAAUACGGACCCUUAUCAGCUGAUAAAUGCAGUUGGUUCAUUGGAUCGCAAUGCACUCAACUACAUGCAUCUGCAGCUCAUGAAGCUGCGCAGCUGCAAAGGUCAGAAGCAGUGCAGCCCUGAUACAGGGCCAAAAGAACAAAACAGCUUCAAUGAUUACAGGAAAAUGAUUGUGUUAGGAAAUUGAUCACAUACUACAAAUGUAGCAUAUAGAGAUUAUAUAGUAAAAAAACAGACAUAUUCCAUUAAUGACGUAGAAGACUGCAUAUACAGUUACUGAUCUUGAGUUGAGUUUGCUACAUGAGCUUUUUAAACCCAACAGGCUGUGGGGCCCCUUCAUCGUCGAAAGAGGCCAAGAAUGAAGAAACCUUCCUCAAAAUCAAUGGGACAGAUCUGGGAAGGCUGGGUGGGCUAAAUGUGGCCAGAUCCCAUUAAGGAAAGACAGAAGCAGAGGACAUGAAGACCUGGGGAUCCUUUGCAAAUAGAAAACGCUUUAAUCUACUUCAACAAAACGUGGAAUACGUGGAAGCCAUCUCACAGUGACAGUGCUCUCUCUCUCUCUCUCUCUCGCUCUCUCACACACACACUCUCUCACUCUCUCUCUCUUUCUUUCUUCCUCUCUUUCACUCUCUGGCAACCUACUUACUGAUUGCUUCUGUUAAAAUACUUUUCCAUCACCUUUGACAAAUAUUAUUAUAAACUUUGAACUUUAAGUACUUUUGGAACUCAAAAAAUGGUCAAAUUUUCUUGUAUCACCUUUGGAGAAGAAGAAUCAAGAACCAUUUUCUAUUAAUUGUCACAUUUCCAUCUGUGACAGAAGUGUGUGCUGGACCCCAACAGACAUCUUCAGCUUGGCCUACCACUCAACUCUUUAUAAUCAUGAUUUUCUGGCUUUUCAUCAUCCACAAGGCUAAAAGGCACAUCUCACAUUAUAUAUCUGUUCAGACAAAAGGCAUCUUGGUGAAGCUUCAGACCACAGAGCUUCAGCUGUUACUUCUAAAUGAGUUUGUGUUAUGCAGACACGUUUAUUUCUCAUCAUAGUUGGUGCUUUUGCAGUUACCAUGGGAUGGUGCUAUGAAUGUUCUCACAGACUUUUUAUCAAACGAUUGUGAUAAUGAUUACACUUCUGCUUUUGUCCAAAGGUUUAUAAACACCUGCUCAUUAAACAUUUUUGGAAAUCGAGAAUUUUUCCUCCCUCUGCUGCUAUAACAGUCUCUAGUCUUCUGGCAGUGCUUUGUUACAUGUUGGAACAUUGGUGUGAGGAUUUUAUUGCACUCAAUUGUCAGGUACUGAUAUUGGAUCAUUAGUUCUGAAUUGUAAAUUGCACUCCAACUAAUCUCAAAGGUGUCUGAUGGUGCUCUCUCACUCCAAAGAAUACAAUUUCACUACAUCAUCAGUCUAAGGCUUUGUACCUCAGAAUGAAUGUUUUGCAUUGGAUUUGGUGACCUCAGGGCCAUGUGCAGUGGCUCUCAAGUAUCCAAUUCUACUUUCAGUGCUUUUCAGUGGAGAUUAUACAAGUACUUGAAAGCCUGUGUCAGCAAUGGGUUGCACCUUAAAGUAGUUGAAUACACUAAUUAGAUGGGGUGUCUACAAAUCUUUGGACAUAAAGUGUAUGAAUGCUGAAAAUGAAUUCAUUCUCUCUGAGCUGCUUGAACCAUAUAGCUGACUUCAUAUUACAUACCAUAUUCUGUUCAAAUGUAUGACCUUCUAGCUAUAUGAUUCUGCUUAUUGAUUUUUUUUUGUGAAUUGUUGUGCUACUGUAACUGGAUCUGAAUGAUGAGUUGUACAUAUUUAAAUGAAAAUAUGUAUUCAUUUAAUUAAUGAAAAAGGAAUUUGAAAGCACAAGUAACAUAAGCCUACUAAACUGUUCACUUAUAUGUUAAUAUAAAAUGACUAAAAUGUUGUUCACUGACCAAGAACAAUUUUUACUUUGUGUUAUGUUAUGUGAAUCACUGACAGCUGAGUGUAUGAGUGUUUGGUAGUUUGUGAAUAAAGUGCACUGUCCACUCA
Pygocentrus nattereri (red-bellied piranha) is the source of this 4639-nucleotide RNA transcript. It is a transcript of the gene named sulfatase 2a, with no coding region annotated. The record is from RefSeq and is a predicted model, not a curated record. The transcript is spliced from 22 exons. Lineage: Eukaryota; Metazoa; Chordata; Actinopteri; Characiformes; Serrasalmidae.